GGGGUUUUAGCUCAGUGGUAGAGCGCUUGCCUAGCAAGCACAAGGCCCUGGGUUCGGUCCCCAGCUCCG
Non-coding RNA from Rattus norvegicus (Norway rat), 69 nucleotides. The record is from Rfam. Lineage: Eukaryota; Metazoa; Chordata; Mammalia; Rodentia; Muridae.